AUAUCAGUAGAAAAUUUGGCUCCUUCAGCAUAAUUGGGGGUUGCGCCACUGACGAUAGCCGCACCGCUUCAACCCUUCGGUUCCCCCACCAAUGCCAACACUCAACCCCCAUCUCGCAGAACAACAGCCCCGUAGGAAACCAGCGCAACACUCAACCCCACCCACACGACCGUAAACCAAUAAAACCAGCCCCACGAGUUACCAACGCAACCUCUGCUAUUGCCCUCCUGAAAUAGAGCACGACUCUUCCUCCAAGCACGCUAAACAGAAAACGACCUGAAUAAACCUCCACCGCCACACGUUUUCCACACCAACUGCGUUCCUACACCCAUAACACGAACACGGAAGCCUCUGUUUUUAAGCAUGAAGAACACAGCAUGGCCCACUGUCGACUACACCCAUGGGCCAUGCCCACGUACACCGUCCUUGAUUCUGCCAUCGCCACACCGUGGAAGCUAGCCUCACCUUGUAUGCUUCAACACUACCGCUCCUAGCACCCGUCCUGGUCGGUAACCACCAUACUCAACCACAAGGAAGUCCCCUGUAAAGCCCAGGCCCGAGGCCAGUUUAGAGUAGCCCAGCCAUUAAGACCAUAUUUUGGCAUCGUUUUGGUGACGAGACUAAUAGAGGUCGAAUUCAAGGCAUAGAUAAUAUGCUGUAGGAGUCAAGUAAGCGGGGUUGCUAUGCUAGAUUUGCAUAAAAAUAAAUAAAUGAACUGAGGUUGGUUUGUAAAAAUGUGCAUGUUAUAUUUUGAAAAAAAUAAACGUCAAAACAACCUCGGUUAUAUGUUUUGCAUUCACCCAUGAAAUCUAUAUGAAAGAGAAAAUAUUUUUUGACAUGAAAAGUGUAAACAUGAGCAAUAUUUGACAUGUUUAUAAAACGCGCAAAAGAGCUAAUAUGAAAAUUGAGAUUUUUAUACAUGUUAUAUGGAAUGUGUUGGAUAUGUUGUUGAUCAUUAGAAAAUGAUAUGAAUGUGUUCAUUACGUGCUUUGAUUUAAUAUAAAUAUGUAAAACCUUUGGCAUAUUUAUCUAUUUUUAUUCUGAUUCUGAAUAUAGUUCUAAUAUGAUGAUACUGGUUCACGUGAUAUGGUUGGUACCAAUAUGAUAUGAUAUGAGUGCAACCACUUUGGAAACAAAGUGGUCUUUUAUUUGUUCUUCCCUGUAUGCAGACUCAGGGCUCCAAGAUUGAAAAAGGGAAAUUUUCACAAUAUGAUACUGCCUGGUUUGGUAACGGGGGAUAACACAAUCCUACCACGGGGGUUAAACAUGAUCAUGAGGAUGGUUGAGCUGAGGAUCAAGAAUAGAAAUUUGUGAAUGUGGAUGUGGAUGAUUCAGAUGAUGGGAAUAGAGUAUUGGAUACUUUAGGGUACUGUUAAUAGAAGGACGUUCUGUUGUUUCUUAGAUUUGUUAUUGUUUUUUGGACUUAGUAAGACUGAAGGAUGUUUCAAUUAUUUUUGUUGGGACUAAUGGGAAAUUGUGGACCCUUUGAUUUAUGUUAUUCAUGGAAAUGACUAUAUGGACAUCAUUAUUCGUUAAUUGUGGAAAAUAUGAUAUUGUUUAUUGUUUUCAAA
Molecule: long non-coding RNA, 1571 nt
Organism: Carya illinoinensis
Lineage: Eukaryota; Viridiplantae; Streptophyta; Magnoliopsida; Fagales; Juglandaceae
Exons: 3
Source: RefSeq, a predicted model, not a curated record